CUUUCAGUCAAGGGGGAGUAGCUUUAGGGAAACCUAUUUCAUAAUCGUCAAUACAUGGUUAGUAACCAUCGGUUAUGAUAGCGAUUUUAAUUGCUUAGCGAGACCUUUGCCUUUUAU
RNAcentral lists this unclassified non-coding RNA (117 nucleotides) under Planococcus massiliensis. Its description in RNAcentral is "yybP-ykoY". Lineage: Bacteria; Bacillati; Bacillota; Bacilli; Caryophanales; Caryophanaceae. The record is from RNAcentral.